This is a long non-coding RNA of Thamnophis elegans (Western terrestrial garter snake), 1545 nucleotides long. RefSeq lists it as uncharacterized. The record is from RefSeq and is a predicted model, not a curated record. NCBI's taxonomy places the organism in Eukaryota, Metazoa, Chordata, Lepidosauria, Squamata, Natricidae. The transcript is spliced from 3 exons.
UUCAUUCAACUUGGAUUACAACACAAGAUUCAAAAGUCACAACUGCUUAGUUGUUAUACACUAUUUUUCCAAAUAUCUACAGCUAUCAAGUAAGGCUGAUCUUACCAGAUUUACCAUUGUUAAUUGCUGAACAAUAAUCACAAUGUUGACUCCCAACGGGGUUACAUCCCUCAUAAGGACAGAAUUUGUACUGCUUUUCUUCAAUAGGGAUGCUUCAGAGGGGGGCAAAGGUGUGUUUAUUUGCACUAGUCAAGGUCCGCUUAGGCGCAUAGAUCAAAUGUCUGCAAAGAGCAGCCUCUGUGUUUGCUAUCUUGUUUGUUUUUGCUCUCUUUCUGGUCUGGACAGCUCUGCCUAAAUUUUGCCUGUCAUUUUUUCCAAUCAACUAACAUACUCAGAUACAGAAAAACCCUAAGUUUGAUUUUUUUUGGGUACUAAUAACUACUAUGUACUAAGGAUUAACUACUUUCAUCGGCCAAGCCUACUAUGAAGGGCAGCUUUGCAAUGUCUAUACUGGCUGACUUACUGCAGACAGCAAAUGGGCAGGAUAUUGUCUAUCUGCAGCUUUUUACAUUGGCUAGCUAGCGAUAAAAUCUUCAUUGAUUCAUGAGCACCUGGAAAGGAGGAAUGCUGAGAACAUUGAUAAUCGGGUACGUGGAGGAGGAGCCUUGGGAUCACACAACCCUGAUCAACAAUCUGCCCAGUUCAAAUAUAUUGUGGAACCAUCCCCUCCCAUCCAGUCAAGUUCUAUUUCUGUUAUGCAGUUUUAAGGAAGCCCUGAACCCAGUAUUCAGAGUUACUUUAUUCAAGAUAUUUUAAAGAGAAUAUUCAUCUAUUGAUUGAUCUAUAUAGUAGUUACUGUCUUGGAAUGAGAAUGACAAGUUCAAGAGCAUCCCACAAGUAGCUGGGCUGGUAUAUUUCUUGCUCAGCUGCAGUGCAGGAGAAACGGUUUUGAAGAUACCAUUCAGCUGGAAAUACCAGAACUUUGUGGAGCUUGGAGGUGAGUAAUUUUCCCAUUAGAGAUAAUUCUUAUCUCUUCAUGCUGACUCCUGAGUUACAGACAUCCUAGAAAAUCCUGUAGGAAGACUGCUGGCAAUACAAAAUGAGCAGGAAUGAAAUUGACAAUACUCUUUCAGUAUAUAGUUUUUAUUUUACAGCAUUUGUAUAUUGUUUGAAUGCAUAGGCUGUGACUAGCAUGUAAUUUAAAGUUAAUAACCCCCCAAAAUAUCUCACCUCAGCCUAAGUCAAACAAUCAUAGCCAUAAAACUAGGUGGUAGUCUACAAUUCACUCAGAUUUAAUGCAUUUUGAAAUGGCACUUUAUUUGUAUUUUUUACAGCUAGAAAUCACAAGUAGGAAUUUCUCACUUUAAGUAGAUUAGAGCUAAUACAGAUAUUCUUGAAUUUAAGCCAUGCUGCGAUAAAACAGUGGUUUACGAACACCAUAUUUUCUUAAUCUGAGGAACAUUUUUCAGUGGCUAUAUACAGGUAGUCCUCGAGUUACAACAGUUCAUUUAGUGACAGUUCGAAGUUAUAAAGGCACUGAAAAAA